This is a long non-coding RNA of Anopheles arabiensis, 1040 nucleotides long. RefSeq lists it as uncharacterized. Lineage: Eukaryota; Metazoa; Arthropoda; Insecta; Diptera; Culicidae. The transcript is spliced from 8 exons. The record is from RefSeq and is a predicted model, not a curated record.
CUGGGGAAAAAACGGGACCUACCCGAACGAACGGCGACAUCAACUGCACCACCGGGUAGACCCGACGUCAUCCGCGAUUGCGAAGAGGAGCAGGUUUUCGCGAACACACACAUACUGAACGGACGAACGGCGUAGGUCGGUUGGUCGUUGGAGCCGCGUACGAAACAGUCCACCGUGUCUGCGAAAAACGGCCGGAUGCUCCAAACCGGUAGUCUGGAAAUAGUUUAGUAGUCGCUUUCGCUGCAACCCGCAUGGGUAGAACGGACGGUCGCAAACAGUCGGCGAACGAGUCAGUCGCGUUGAUCUUGUGAAUUAAUGUCCAAGUGAAGCUAACUAACUUGAAACUUGAAAUCAAAUUGUUGAUGUUUUACAAAACUAGAACUCAAGUUUGUGAAAACCUCACAAUUGGUAAUGAAGUAGAGGAAAUAGUUCGUCAACUGCACUAAAACUGCAUCGUGAAUGCACAGCUGAUACCUUGAAGGUCAUGGUUUGAAAGAACCCAAUGCAAAUGAAAUCAGAAUUUCAAGACAAACAUACAAGUGAAGUUUAUGAAGUGAGUGAGUGUUCUACAUCGAAAAUUUGUGUCCAAUAGUUGGCUCUGUGUAAUAGAGUUGAUGUGUAUUAAUCUAAGUGUUUUAGUAUUAUCAAACCGUAGCAUUGAAUCUCUAGUGAAAGUGGAUCUCCGUGUAAAAGCAGAUAAUUGACAGAUCUUGGCUGGCGGUUGUCCAAGUGAGAGAGGCAUUUUUAAGUCCGUCAACAAGCGCGCGGUACAAAAUCGGCCUCAACAGCCAUAACAGACUUGUUUACAAAUCGGACUUCACAACAGGAAACUUAUUUUGUGUGAUUAUGCGAUAUUAUCAGCGUAAUUAAGGAUAUAAUUAACUUAAAAGGAUAAUACACAUCCACCGGGCAAGGGAGAGCUUUUACCAGACGUUUGGAGAAAUUCCGCAUCAUUCGGCCAGCCAUCUCUGCGGGUGCGUGUCGGGCAGCUAAGGAAAAAGAGAACGUCGUCGAUCACGCUUCCAGCAACCGAAAGAGGC